UCCGUAGGUGGAUAAUUAAGUCAGAGGUGAAAUCCUGCAGCUCAACUGUAGAAUUGCCUUUGAUACUGGUUAUCUUGAGUCAUUAUGAAGUGGUUAGAAUGUGUAGUGUAGCUGUGAAAUGUAUAGAUAUUACACAGAAUACCGAUUGCGAAGGCAGAUCACUAAUAAUGUACUGACACUGAGGGACGAAAGCGUGGGGAGCGAACAGGAUUAGAUACCCUGGUAGUCC
This 229-nucleotide ribosomal RNA is filed under the name uncultured bacterium. Its description in RNAcentral is "partial 16S ribosomal RNA". It matches the Rfam family "Bacterial small subunit ribosomal RNA", at positions 568 to 796 of the family's 1533-position model. The record is from RNAcentral.